AAAAUCCUUUUGCAACUGAAUUUUUUUGUGGUCAUUUAUCAGGAAAAUGUUAGCCUUGAGCUGGAAAAGUUGAGAAUUGAACUAAGACAAGCCCAAGGAAUGCAUGCAGUAGCUCAAAGCGAAAGCAUAAAUGCAUCAUGAAAGUUGAAUGAUCUCAGCAAGAGGCGAUCAGAAGAAUCCAUGAAACUGAAGGAGAUUCUUGCUAAGGAGGAAAUGGCCAAAGAAUUGGCAAGACAAGAAA
Non-coding RNA from Arachis ipaensis, 241 nucleotides. Lineage: Eukaryota; Viridiplantae; Streptophyta; Magnoliopsida; Fabales; Fabaceae. The record is from RefSeq and is a predicted model, not a curated record.